RNAcentral lists this ribosomal RNA (497 nucleotides) under uncultured bacterium. Its description in RNAcentral is "partial 16S ribosomal RNA". It matches the Rfam family "Bacterial small subunit ribosomal RNA", at positions 28 to 507 of the family's 1533-position model. The record is from RNAcentral.
GAUGAACGCUGGCGGCGUGCCUAAUACAUGCAAGUAGAACGCUGAAGCUUGGUGCUUGCACCGAGCGGAUGAGUUGCGAACGGGUGAGUAACGCGUAGGUAACCUGCCUCUUAGCGGGGGAUAACUAUUGGAAACGAUAGCUAAUACCGCAUAAAAGUCGAUAUCGCAUGAUAUUGAUUUGAAAGGUGCAAAUGCAUCACUAAGAGAUGGACCUGCGUUGUAUUAGCUAGUUGGUGAGGUAACGGCUCACCAAGGCGACGAUACAUAGCCGACCUGAGAGGGUGAGCGGCCACACUGGGACUGGGACACGGCCCAGACUCCUACGGGAGGCAGCAGUAGGGAAUCUUCGGCAAUGGGGGCAACCCUGACCGAGCAACGCCGCGUGAGUGAAGAAGGUUCUCGGAUCGUAAAGAUCUGUUGUAAGAGAAGAACGAGUGUGAGAGUGGAAAGUUCACACUGUGACGGUAACUUACCAGAAAGGGACGGCUAACUACGUG